ACAACUUUUCGCGUCGGUCUACCGAGCAAUAUCACCCGCUCCAUGGAAGACCUUGCCUCCGUCGU
RNAcentral lists this microRNA precursor (65 nucleotides) under Bombyx mori (domestic silkworm). RNAcentral describes it as "mir-2774 microRNA precursor family". It matches the Rfam family "mir-2774 microRNA precursor family". Lineage: Eukaryota; Metazoa; Arthropoda; Insecta; Lepidoptera; Bombycidae. The record is from Rfam by way of RNAcentral.